GUUGGGGGCAUUUGUAUUUGGUGCAUAUAUAUUUAGAAUUGUCAUCUCUUCCUUUUGGAUUGUUCCCUUCACAAGGAUGUAGUGACAGUCUUUGUCUCUCUUAAUUAGUUUUGGUUUGAAAUCACUUUGUCUGCAAAUAAGAUUGUUACCCUUGCUUUCUUCUGGGUUCCUAUCACAUGGAGAGCUGUUUUCCACCCUUUUACUUUCAGUCUAUGAAUUUCUUUUUGAGUUAGGUUCUGCCAGUCUAUUUCUUUUGGUUGGUGAAUUGGGGCCAUUAACAUUGAUAGUUAUAAUUGAUAGAUAUUGCCUUAUCCUUGUCAUGAUGCUUUAGUGUUGUUGGCUCUUUUAUUUCUUAUUUUUUUCCCAUUUUGUUUUUACCUUGCCUGGGGGCUUCCUUCUGUUGGGCCUCAUGAAGUUGUGACCUUCAUUGUCUUUUUCUAGGAUAUUGCUUAGAAUUGUUUGGAGUGCUGGUUUGGUGUUCAUGAAAUUUCUCAGGUGUUCUUUGUCAUGGAAGUAUCUAAUUUCCCCAUUGAUUUUGAAAGAUAAUUUUGCAGGAUACAACAGUCUAGGUUAGAAGUUACUUUCUUUUAGGGCUUGAAAUACUUCACUCCAGGCUCUCCUUGAUUUGGGGCUUUGUGUUGAGAAGUUUGCUGUGAUUCUGAUGGGCUUUCCUUUGUAGGUGAUUUGUUUCCUUUCUCUAACUGCUUGUAGGAUUUUGUUUUUCUGUUGGGUUUCUGGGAUCUUGACUAUUAUAUGUCUAGAUGUAGAUUUUUUUUUUGAUCAUGGCUAGUUGGAGUUCUACAUGCCUUACUUAUCUGUAUGUCCCAUUCUCUACCUCUGUCUGGGAAGUUUUCCACUAUUACUUCUGUGAACAGUUUUUUUUAUGUCAGUUGUGCUUUCUCUUGUUUUUUCAUGGAUUCCUAUCUCUUAUAUUAUUCUUCUUUGCAUCACCUAGCAGUUGUUUGAUUGAUUUCUUAUGGUCCAUUACUAUUUUCAUGAAAUCUCUAUUUUCUUGGUCUCUAACCACAAUCCUGCCUUCUAUAUCUGAUAUUCUAUCUUCAGAUUUCCUUAAUCUGCUGUGGAUACUUUCAAUGGAGUUUUUGAUCUCCUGAAUAUCUGUUUGACUCUGUUUCAUUGAUUCCAUUUCAUUCUUAUGCUGGGCAAUCA
RNAcentral lists this long non-coding RNA (1167 nucleotides) under Heterocephalus glaber (naked mole-rat). RNAcentral describes it as "lncRNA (ENSHGLG00100043073.1)". Lineage: Eukaryota; Metazoa; Chordata; Mammalia; Rodentia; Bathyergidae. The record is from RNAcentral.